UGAAUCAGAACAGCCACAUCAUCCUGUGUGGUCAAAUUGCUCAGUACAACAAAGAUGUGCCUUAUCCUCCUCCAUUACCCCCUGCUGUAGAAGCAAUCCUGAAAGAAAGAAACAUCACAAGAGAAAGAUUUCUGGUGUUAAAUUAUAAGGACAAAUUUGAGUCUGGUAUUCUACAGCUGAGUCAAUGGUUUAAAGAAGGAAAGCUAAAGAUCAAAGAAACUAUGAUAAACGGAUUGGAAAAUAUGGGAGGUAAGAUGAAUGUAGAUUUAUUUAUUAUAUACAUGUGCUCAGCA
Long non-coding RNA from Hipposideros armiger (great roundleaf bat), 293 nucleotides. RefSeq lists it as uncharacterized. The record is from RefSeq and is a predicted model, not a curated record. Lineage: Eukaryota; Metazoa; Chordata; Mammalia; Chiroptera; Hipposideridae. The transcript is spliced from 3 exons.